UGGCUCAGUUGGUAGAGCAUGGUGUUUGCAAUGCCAGGGUUGUGGGUACGAUUCCCAC
RNAcentral lists this transfer RNA (58 nucleotides) under Salmo salar (Atlantic salmon). It matches the Rfam family "tRNA", at positions 8 to 63 of the family's 71-position model. From Rfam's summary of the family: Transfer RNA (tRNA) molecules are approximately 80 nucleotides in length. Their secondary structure includes four short double-helical elements and three loops (D, anti-codon, and T loops). Further hydrogen bonds mediate the characteristic L-shaped molecular structure. tRNAs have two regions of fundamental functional importance: the anti-codon, which is responsible for specific mRNA codon recognition, and the 3' end, to which the tRNAs corresponding amino acid is attached (by aminoacyl-tRNA synthetases). tRNAs cope with the degeneracy of the genetic code in two manners: having more than one tRNA (with a specific anti-codon) for a particular amino acid; and 'wobble' base-pairing, i.e. permitting non-standard base-pairing at the 3rd anti-codon position. Lineage: Eukaryota; Metazoa; Chordata; Actinopteri; Salmoniformes; Salmonidae. The record is from Rfam by way of RNAcentral.